RNAcentral lists this ribosomal RNA (392 nucleotides) under Pythium sp. Its description in RNAcentral is "SSU rRNA". It matches the Rfam family "Eukaryotic small subunit ribosomal RNA", at positions 585 to 972 of the family's 1831-position model. RNAcentral also lists the same sequence under 1 other name. Lineage: Eukaryota; Oomycota; Peronosporomycetes; Pythiales; Pythiaceae. The record is from RNAcentral.
CCAGCUCCAAUAGCGUAUAUUAAAGUUGUUGCAGUUAAAAAGCUCGUAGUUGGAUUUCUGUUUUGAGCGUCCGGUCCGCCUCUUUGAGGUGUGUUACUAGGAUGUUUGAGACAUUUUUUGUGAGGAUGUUCUUCUGCCAUUCAGUUGGUGGUUGAAUAGACUUGCAUCUUUUACUGUGAAAAAAUUAGAGUGUUUAAAGCAGGCGUUUGCUCAUUGAAUACAUUAGCAUGGAAUAAUAAGAUACGACCUUGGUGGUCUAUUUUGUUGGUUUGCACACCAGGGUAAUGAUUAAUAGGGACAGUUGGGGGUAUUCAUAUUUCAGCGUCAGAGGUGAAAUUCUUGGAUCGCUGAAAGAUGAGCUUAGGCGAAAGCAUUUACCAAGGAUGUUUUCA